This 461-nucleotide ribosomal RNA is filed under the name uncultured bacterium. RNAcentral's name for it is "SSU rRNA". It matches the Rfam family "Bacterial small subunit ribosomal RNA", at positions 26 to 518 of the family's 1533-position model. The record is from RNAcentral.
AGAAUCAACGCUGGCGGCGUGCCUAACACAUGCAAGUCGAACGAGAAAGUGGAGCAAUCCACGAGUAAAGUGGCGCACGGGUGAGUAACACGUGACUAACCUACCCUUGAGUGGGGGAUAACCUAGGGAAAACCUGGGCUAAUACCGCAUAAUACCUACGGGUCAAAGGAGCAAUUCGCUUAAGCGAGGGGGUCGCGGCCGAUUAGUUAGUUGGCGGGGUAAUGGCCCACCAAGACGAUGAUCGGUAUCCGGCCUGAGAGGGCGCACGGACACACUGGAACUGAAACACGGUCCAGACUCCUACGGGAGGCAGCAGUGGGGAAUUUUGCGCAAUGGGGGAAACCCUGACGCAGCAACGCCGCGUGGAGGAUGAAGUCCCUAGGGAUGUAAACUCCUUUCGAUCGGACGAUUAUGACGGUACCGGAAGAAGAAGCCCCGGCUAACUUCGCGCCAGCAGCCGC